AGAAGAGCGUGGCCCCUGUCAGGUGUUAGAAGCCGUUUCUUGCGUACUUCUCGGAUAGUCGACGAAUCCUUUAUGGGCCAUGCAUGAAGAGUCACAUCCAAGUCAUGAAAAAUGUUUAAUAUCCAUCGUCGUGCAUUGCACGCUGCAUCACGAUCUAGAACGUGUCAUCGUUACCGAUUCCUGACACGAUCCGAGACACGCUUAAAAAAUUAACACUCGAAAAGGACACGUUUGCCGUUAACACGUUUUACGAGGACGAUCUACUUGGUCGCAGAUGUGCGGGGAAUUCGACCGUCAUCCGGAAUCUCUCGUUUCCAGCGAUAAAACGAAGCGGCGCAAUCGAAGGGCGAGAAAAAGCGCGAGGACGAGCCGAUGGAGAAAGAUUGGCCCUAAAACGCCGACGAGGCACAGAUAAGAGACGAUCCCGUGACGUUUCGUCUGCUCGUAUCUUGCAGAUUACCGAUUCUUCCAACUGUGGCACCGCAAGAGGUGAAAAGUUGCUGUCCAGCGCUCGUCGAAGACACACGCGAGACAAGUUGCUGAAGUCACCUACCGGAUCCUCUGGGCUUUACGACGGAAACGACGAAUUCAAGGUCGCAGCGAUGCAAUCUCCUGAAAAUUCGACGCAGAUCCCAACAACGGUUACUCGCUUUGGUAAAGGGUUUCAAGGUUACUUUUAAGG
This is a long non-coding RNA of Bombus terrestris (buff-tailed bumblebee), 682 nucleotides long. RefSeq lists it as uncharacterized. The transcript is spliced from 3 exons. The record is from RefSeq and is a predicted model, not a curated record. NCBI's taxonomy places the organism in Eukaryota, Metazoa, Arthropoda, Insecta, Hymenoptera, Apidae.